This 245-nucleotide ribosomal RNA is filed under the name uncultured Actinomycetales bacterium. RNAcentral's name for it is "partial 16S ribosomal RNA". It matches the Rfam family "Bacterial small subunit ribosomal RNA", at positions 88 to 334 of the family's 1533-position model. The record is from RNAcentral. Lineage: Bacteria; Bacillati; Actinomycetota; Actinomycetes; Actinomycetales.
UGCUCGAGUGGCGAACGGGCGAGUAACACGUGAGUAACCUGCCCUUGACUUUGGGAUAACUUCAGGAAACUGGGGCUAAUACCGGAUAGGAGCUCCUGCUGCAUGGUGGGGGUUGGAAAGUUUCGGCGGUUGGGGAUGGACUCGCGGCUUAUCAGCUUGUUGGUGGGGUAGUGGCUUACCAAGGCUUUGACGGGUAGCCGGCCUGAGAGGGUGACCGGCCACAUUGGGACUGAGAUACGGCCCAG